CUCACUCUUUCUCAGUCUUCGUUUUCAAGAAGACAGACUCCUGCCUUGCUCUCAAGCGCCUGAUACUGUUCUAACACCUUAGUUUUCGAUCGCUCAGGAGGCGAGGAAGAAACCCUAGAACUCGCAAAGCAGCUGCAUCAAUGGCGAAGCAGAUCCACGAGAUCAAGGAAUUUCUCUUCCUCCCAGUUUGACUGUUCAAGAUUGCAGAUUGAGUUCAGUUUAUCGGAGAAGGAAAUGGAAGACAAAGCUGCUGCUUUGCGUGAGAUGCAGGCCAAGGUCGAGAAAUCUUGGAAUUGAUGAACACCUUCAAUGCCAGGUUUGUCACAUAGUUCUUGAUCUAUUAUCUUUGUGACAUGUCCUACUUACCUUAAUAUGAAGAAACUAUUAUAAAAAUUUAAUUGUAUGCUACUG
Long non-coding RNA from Vicia villosa (hairy vetch), 411 nucleotides. RefSeq lists it as uncharacterized. Lineage: Eukaryota; Viridiplantae; Streptophyta; Magnoliopsida; Fabales; Fabaceae. The transcript has 3 exons. The record is from RefSeq and is a predicted model, not a curated record.